AAUAGAUACCCGGGUAGUCCACGCCGUAAACGAUGGGCACUAGGUGCCGGGGGGAGCGACCCCGUCGGUGCCGUAGCUAACGCGUUAAGUGCCCCGCCUGGGGAGUACGGCCGCAAGGCUGAAACUCAAAGGAAUUGACGGGGGCCCGCACAGGCGGUGGAGCAUGUGGUUUAAUUCGAAGCAACGCGAAGAACCUUACCUGGGUUUGACAUGCACGUGAAACCCCUGUGAAAGCAGGGGCCUCCUUCGGGACACGUGCACAGGUGCUGCAUGGCUGUCGUCAGCUCGUGUCGUGAGAUGUUGGGUUAAGUCCCGCAACGAGCGCAACCCUUGCCCCGUGUUACUAACAGGUCAAGCUGAGGACUCUCGGGGGACUGCCGGCGUCAAGCCGGAGGAAGGUGGGGACGACGUCAAGUCAUCAUGGCCCUUACGCCCAGGGCUACACACGUGCUACAAUGGCCAGGGCAGAGGGCUGCGAGACCGCAAGGUGGAGCGAAUCCCAGAAACCUGGCCCAAGUUCGGAUUGCGGGCUGCAACUCGCCCGC
Molecule: ribosomal RNA, 545 nt
Filed under: uncultured bacterium
Lineage: Bacteria
Description: bacterial SSU rRNA
Rfam family: Bacterial small subunit ribosomal RNA
Source: RNAcentral